Molecule: ribosomal RNA, 465 nt
Filed under: uncultured bacterium
Lineage: Bacteria
Description: partial 16S ribosomal RNA
Rfam family: Bacterial small subunit ribosomal RNA
Source: RNAcentral
CCUACGGGAGGCAGCAGUGGGGAAUAUUGCGCAAUGGGCGAAAGCCUGACGCAGCGACGCAGCGUGAGGGAUGAAGGUCUUCGGAUCGUAAAACUCUGUCAGCAGGGAAGUACGGUCACUGUGCUAAUCAGCAGUGCAUUGACGGUACCUGCAAAGGAAGCACCGGCUAACUCCGUGACAGCAGCCGCGGUAAUACGGAGGGUGCGAGCGUUAAUCGGAAUUACUGGGCGUAAAGCGCGCGUAGGCGGUAUGUCAAGUCAAGGGUGAAAUCCCCGGGCUCAACGUGGGAACUGCCUUUGAAACUGGCAAACUUGAGUGUGUGAGAGGAUAGUGGAAUUCCAGGUGUAGGAGUGAAAUGCGUAGAUAUCAGGAGGAACAUCAGUGGCGAAGGCGACUAUCUGGCACAUAACUGACGCUGAGGAGCGAAAGCGUGGGUAGCAAACAGGAUUAGAUACCCGUGUAGUC